Molecule: ribosomal RNA, 432 nt
Filed under: uncultured bacterium
Lineage: Bacteria
Description: bacterial SSU rRNA
Rfam family: Bacterial small subunit ribosomal RNA
Source: RNAcentral
AGUGAACGCUGGCGGCGUGCCUAACACAUGCAAGUCGAACGAGAACGGCACGGGUGAGUAAUAUAUAGUUAAUCUGCCCCCAAAGAAAAUAAUUGUUGGAAACGACUUGUAAUGCUCUAUAUGCCUUUAUUACAUAAGUAAGCAAGGGAAAUAUUUAUAGCUUUGGGAUGAGACUGUACAGUAUCAGUUAGUUGGUGAGGUAAUGGCUCACCAAGACAAUGACACUUAACUGGUUUGAGAGGAUGAUCAGUCACACUGGAACUGAGACACGGUCCAGACUCCUACGGGAGGCAGCAGUGGGGAAUAUUGCACAAUGGAGGGAACUCUGAUGCAGCAACGCCGCGUGGAGGAUGACACAUUUCGGUGCGUAAACUCCUUUUAUAUGAGAAGAUAAUGACGGUAUCAUAUGAAUAAGCACCGGCUAACUCCGUG